CCUACGGGUGGCAGCAGUGGGGAAUAUUGGGCAAUGGGGGGAACCCUGAUCCAGCCAUGCCGCGUGUGUGAAGAAGGCCCUCGGGUUGUAAAGCACUUUCAGUGAGGAAGAACGCCUGGUGGUUAAUACCCAUCAGGAAAGACAUCACUCACAGAAGAAGCACCGGCUAACUCCGUGCCAGCAGCCGCGGUAAUACGGAGGGUGCGAGCGUUAAUCGGAAUUACUGGGCGUAAAGCGCGCGUAGGUGGCUUGAUAAGCCGGUUGUGAAAGCCCCGGGCUCAACCUGGGAACGGCAUCCGGAACUGUCAAGCUAGAGUGCAGGAGAGGAAGGUAGAAUUCCCGGUGUAGCGGUGAAAUGCGUAGAGAUCGGGAGGAAUACCAGUGGCGAAGGCGGCCUUCUGGACUGGCACUGACACUGAGGUGCGAAAGCGUGGGUAGCAAACAGGAUUAGAUACCCGUGUAGUC
Molecule: ribosomal RNA, 465 nt
Filed under: Vreelandella stevensii
Lineage: Bacteria; Pseudomonadati; Pseudomonadota; Gammaproteobacteria; Oceanospirillales; Halomonadaceae
Description: partial 16S ribosomal RNA
Rfam family: Bacterial small subunit ribosomal RNA
Source: RNAcentral